GUCUCUCUAUCCCAAAGCCUGAUGUGAUUUCCUUACUGGAGCAAGGGAAAGAGUCCUGCAUGGUUUCAAGGGACGUACCAGGAGGAUGGUGCCCAGAUUGCAGCAAUUUGGCCGGGCGCGGUGGUUCAUGCCUGUAAUCCCGGCACUUUGGAAGGCCGAGGUGGAAGGAUCAUCUGCGGUUGGGAGUACCAGUCCACCCUAACCAACGUGGUGAAACAUCGUGUCUACUAAAAAUACAAAAUCGGCCGGAUGCGGUAGCACAUGCCUAUAAUGGCAGCUACUCAGGAGGCUGAGGCAGGAGAAUCACUUGAACCCAGUAGGCGGAGGUUGUGAUAUAUAUAUAUGGAAAAGAGAAGGUCCAAGAAUAUCAAAGACAUUGAAGAAGAGGAAAGAUUUGUCCUGCCAAAUAUCAGAACUUUUAUAAAGCUACAGCAAUUAAGACAGUGUGGUCCUCACUGAUAAACUGACUAAUGAAACAGAAUAGAGAGCUCCCAAGCAAAUCUCUACAAAUUUAAUCUUCGAUACGUGAUGUAGGUGACAUGGCAGAUCAGUAAGGAAAGAAAGGACUUUUCAAUAAAUAGAAUAGAAAAAUAAUGGUUAUUGAUAUAAGAAAC
This 614-nucleotide long non-coding RNA is filed under the name Homo sapiens (human). RNAcentral's name for it is "HSALNT0266055". The record is from RNAcentral. Lineage: Eukaryota; Metazoa; Chordata; Mammalia; Primates; Hominidae.